GGAUCCAGACUUUGAUUAUGGCUCAGGACGAACGCUGGCGGCGUGCUUAACACAUGCAAGUCGAGCGAUGAAGUUCCUUCGGGAGCGGAUUAGCGGCGAACGGGUGAGGAACACGUGAGGAAUCUACCUUCUACACUGGGAUAACUCCGGGAAACCGGGGCUAAUACCGGAUAUGAAAUUUGAUGGCAUCGUCAGGUUUGGAAAGUUUUUCGGUAGAAGAUGACCUCGCGGCCUAUCAGCUUGUUGGUGAGGUAAUGGCUCACCAAGGCGACGACGGGUAGCCGGCCUGAGAGGGCGACCGGCCACACUGGGACUGAGACACGGCCCAGACUCCUACGGGAGGCAGCAGUGGGGAAUAUUGGGCAAUGGAGGGAACUCUGACCCAGCGACGCCGCGUGCGGGAUGAAGGCCUUCGGGUUGUAAACCGCUUUCAGCAGGGAAGAAGCGAAAGUGACGGUACCUGCAGAAGAAGCACCGGCUAACUAUGUGCCAGCAGCCGCGGUAAUACAUAGGGUGCAAGCGUUGUCCGGAAUUAUUGGGCGUAAAGAGCUCGUAGGUGGUUCGUCACGUCGGAUGUGAAAAUCUGGGGCUCAACCCCAGACCUGCAUUCGAUACGGGCGAGCUAGAGUUUGGUAGGGGAGACUGGAAUUCCUGGUGUAGCGGUGGAAUGCGCAGAUAUCAGGAGGAACACCAAUGGCGAAGGCAGGUCUCUGGGCCAAUACUGACACUGAGGAGCGAAAGCGUGGGGAGCGAACAGGAUUAGAUACCCUGGUAGUCCACGCCGUAAACGGUGGGCACUAGUUGUGGGGACCUUCCACGGUCUCUGCGACGCAGCUAACGCAUUAAGUGCCCCGCCUGGGGAGUACGAUCGCAAGAUUAAAGCUCAAAGGAAUUGACGGGGCCCCGCACAAGCAGCGGAGCAUGCGGCUUAAUUCGACGCAACGCGAAGAACCUUACCAAGGCUUGACAUAUACCGGAAUAUGGCAGAAAUGUCAUAGCUGUUAAAGGUCGGUAUACAGGUGGUGCAUGGUUGUCGUCAGCUCGUGUCGUGAGAUGUUGGGUUAAGUCCCGCAACGAGCGCAACCC
Molecule: ribosomal RNA, 1086 nt
Filed under: uncultured bacterium
Lineage: Bacteria
Description: bacterial SSU rRNA
Rfam family: Bacterial small subunit ribosomal RNA
Source: RNAcentral